Molecule: ribosomal RNA, 497 nt
Filed under: uncultured bacterium
Lineage: Bacteria
Description: partial 16S ribosomal RNA
Rfam family: Bacterial small subunit ribosomal RNA
Source: RNAcentral
GACGAACGCUGGCGGCGUGCCUAAUACAUGCAAGUUGAGCGAUGAAGCUUGGUGCUUGCACCAAUUUGAAGAGCAGCGAACGGGUGAGUAACGCGUGGGGAAUCUGCCUUUGAGCGGGGGACAACAUUUGGAAACGAAUGCUAAUACCGCAUAACAACUUUAAACAUAAGUUUUAAGUUUGAAAGAUGCAAUUGCAUCACUCAAAGAUGAUCCCGCGUUGUAUUAGCUAGUUGGUGAGGUAAAGGCUCACCAAGGCGAUGAUACAUAGCCGACCUGAGAGGGUGAUCGGUCACAUUGGGACUGAGACACGGCCCAAACUCCUACGGGAGGCAGCAGUAGGGAAUCUUCGGCAAUGGACGAAAGUCUGACCGAGCAACGCCGCGUGAGUGAAGAAGGUUUUCGGAUCGUAAAACUCUGUUGGUAGAGAAGAACGUUGGUGAGAGUGGAAAGCUCAUCAAGUGACGGUAACUACCCAGAAAGGGACGGCUAACUACGUG